CAGUAGCCACGGGAAUACGGAGGAUCCAAGCGUUAUCCGGAUUUAUUGGGUUUAAAGGGUGCGUAGGCGGCCUUGUAAGUCAGGGGUGAAAGACGGUAGCUUAACUAUCGCAGUGCCUUUGAUACUGCAGGGCUUGAAUGUACUUGAGGUAGGCGGAAUGUGACAAGUAGCGGUGAAAUGCAUAGAUAUGUCACAGAACACCAAUUGCGAAGGCAGCUUACUAAAGUAUGAUUGACGCUGAGGCACGAAAGCGUGGGGAUCAAACAGGAUUAGAUACCCCAGUAGUCCCUGUCUCUUAUAC
This 301-nucleotide ribosomal RNA is filed under the name uncultured bacterium. RNAcentral's name for it is "partial 16S ribosomal RNA". It matches the Rfam family "Bacterial small subunit ribosomal RNA", at positions 509 to 807 of the family's 1533-position model. The record is from RNAcentral.